Heterocephalus glaber (naked mole-rat) is the source of this 94-nucleotide small nuclear RNA. NCBI's taxonomy places the organism in Eukaryota, Metazoa, Chordata, Mammalia, Rodentia, Bathyergidae. The record is from Ensembl.
GAGCUAGAGCAGCUCACAAACUAAACACAGAGAGCACUAGCAAGAGGCCCUGCACAAGGAUGAUACAGAAAUCUGUGAAAAAUCAAAUAUUUUU